This 253-nucleotide ribosomal RNA is filed under the name uncultured bacterium. Its description in RNAcentral is "partial 16S ribosomal RNA". It matches the Rfam family "Bacterial small subunit ribosomal RNA", at positions 524 to 776 of the family's 1533-position model. The record is from RNAcentral.
UACAGAGGUCUCAAGCGUUGUUCGGAUUCAUUGGGCGUAAAGGGUGUGUAGGUGGCGCCGUAAGUCGGGUGUGAAAUUUCGGAGCUUAACUCCGAAACUGCAUUUGAUACUGCGGUGCUUGAGGACUGGAGAGGAGACUGGAAUUCACGGUGUAGCAGUGAAAUGCGUAGAUAUCGUGAGGAAGACCAGUGGCGAAGGCGGAUCUCUGGACAGUUACUGACACUGAGGCACGAAGGCCAGGGGAGCAAACGGG